Molecule: ribosomal RNA, 381 nt
Filed under: uncultured Thermus sp.
Lineage: Bacteria; Thermotogati; Deinococcota; Deinococci; Thermales; Thermaceae
Description: bacterial SSU rRNA
Rfam family: Bacterial small subunit ribosomal RNA
Source: RNAcentral
AAAAGCCUGGGGUGCCCGCAGGGGAGCCCUAGCACAGGUGCUGCAUGGCCGUCGUCAGCUCGUGCCGUGAGGUGUUGGGUUAAGUCCCGCAACGAGCGCAACCCCCGCCGUUAGUUGCCAGCGGUUCGGCCGGGCACUCUAACGGGACUGCCCGCGAAAGCGGGAGGAAGGAGGGGACGACGUCUGGUCAGCAUGGCCCUUACGGCCUGGGCGACACACGUGCUACAAUGCCCACUACAAAGCGAUGCCACCCGGCAACGGGGAGCUAAUCGCAAAAAGGUGGGCCCAGUUCGGAUUGGGGUCUGCAACCCGACCCCAUGAAGCCGGAAUCGCUAGUAAUCGCGGAUCAGCCAUGCCGCGGUGAAUACGUUCCCGGGCCUU